GGGCAGGUAGCUCAGCUAGGUAGAGCACUAGACUGAAAAUCUAGGUGUCGACGGUUCGAUCCCGUUCCUGCCCA
This 74-nucleotide transfer RNA is filed under the name Planctomycetota bacterium. RNAcentral's name for it is "Planctomycetes bacterium (groundwater metagenome) tRNA-Phe". It matches the Rfam family "tRNA". From Rfam's summary of the family: Transfer RNA (tRNA) molecules are approximately 80 nucleotides in length. Their secondary structure includes four short double-helical elements and three loops (D, anti-codon, and T loops). Lineage: Bacteria; Pseudomonadati; Planctomycetota. The record is from RNAcentral.